Molecule: ribosomal RNA, 235 nt
Filed under: uncultured bacterium
Lineage: Bacteria
Description: partial 16S ribosomal RNA
Rfam family: Bacterial small subunit ribosomal RNA
Source: RNAcentral
CGGGACGGGUGAGUAACGCGUGGGUAACCUGCCUUGUACUGGGGGACAACAGUUAGAAAUGACUGCUAAUACCGCAUAAGCGCACAGUAUCGCAUGAUACAGUGUGAAAAACUCCGGUGGUACAAGAUGGACCCGCGUCUGAUUAGCUAGUUGGUAAGGUAACGGCUUACCAAGGCGACGAUCAGUAGCCGACCUGAGAGGGUGACCGGCCACAUUGGGACUGAGACACGGCCAA